RNAcentral lists this ribosomal RNA (786 nucleotides) under uncultured bacterium. RNAcentral's name for it is "bacterial SSU rRNA". It matches the Rfam family "Bacterial small subunit ribosomal RNA", at positions 8 to 796 of the family's 1533-position model. The record is from RNAcentral.
AGAGUUUGAUCCUGGCUCAGAACGAACGCUGGCGGCGUGCUUAACACAUGCAAGUCGAGUGCGCGCCUGUAGCAAUACAGGUGGCGCACGGCGCACGGGUGCGUAACACGUGGGUAAUCUGCCCUCUGAUGGGGAAUAACCCGCCGAAAGGCGGGCUAAUACCGCAUAAAAUUCCUUGGAUUUCGGUCCGGGGACUCAAAGGCGUAAGUCGUCGGAGGAGGAGCCCGCGCACGAUUAGCUAGUUGGUAGGGUAAUGGCCUACCAAGGCUUUGAUCGUUAGCUGGUCUGAGAGGAUGGCCAGCCACACUGGAACUGAGACACGGUCCAGACUCCUACGGGAGGCAGCAGUGGGGAAUCUUGCACAAUGGGCGAAAGCCUGAUGCAGCGACGCCGCGUGGGGGAUGAAGCAUUUCGGUGUGUAAACCCCUUUCGAUCCGGACGAAUACCUCGCAAGAGGGGUGACGGUACGGAUAUAAGAAGCCCCGGCUAACUACGUGCCAGCAGCCGCGGUAAGACGUAGGGGGCCAGCGUUGUUCGGAAUUACUGGGUGUAAAGGGUUCGUAGGCGGUGUGGCAAGUUGGGAGUGAAAUCUCUGGGCUUAACCCAGAGGCUGCUUCCAAAACUGCUGUGCUUGAGUGUGAGAGAGGCUCGUGGAAUUGCAGGUGUAGCGGUGAAAUGCGUAGAUAUCUGCAGGAACACCCGUGGCGAAAGCGGCGAGCUGGAUCACUACUGACGCUGAGGAACGAAAGCUAGGGGAGCAAACAGGAUUAGAUACCCCCGUAGUCC